Molecule: unclassified non-coding RNA, 434 nt
Filed under: soil metagenome
Description: partial contains 5.8S ribosomal RNA, internal transcribed spacer 2, and large subunit ribosomal RNA
Rfam family: 5.8S ribosomal RNA (bases 1-120)
Source: RNAcentral
GAUGAAGAACGCAGCGAAAUGCGAUAAGUAAUGUGAAUUGCAGAAUUCAGUGAAUCAUCGAAUCUUUGAACGCACCUUGCGCUCCUUGGUAUUCCUUGGAGCAUGCCUGUUUGAGUAUCAUGAAAUUCUCAAAGUAAAUCUUUUUGUUAAUUCAAUUGGAUUCACUUUGGAUUUGGAGGUCUUUUGCAGCUUCACACCUGCUCCUCUUUGUGCAUUAGCUGGAUCUCAGUGUUAUGCUUGGUUCCCAUCGGCGUGAUAAAUUAUCUAUCGCUGAGGACACUUUUUUUUUUCUUAAAAAAAAAAUAAAGGUGGCCAAGGGAAAUGCAGAUGAACCGCUUCCAAUAGUCCAUUAGCUUGGACAAAAUAUAUUUAUGAUCUGAUCUCAAAUCAGGUAGGACUACCCGCUGAACUUAAGCAUAUCAAUAAGCGGAGGA